GGUCCCGUAGCUCAGUAGGAUAGAGCACCAGAUUCCUAAUCUGGUUGUCGCGCGUUCGAAUCGCGCCGGGAUCACCA
This 77-nucleotide transfer RNA is filed under the name Candidatus Liberibacter asiaticus. Its description in RNAcentral is "tRNA-Arg". It matches the Rfam family "tRNA". Rfam says of the family: Transfer RNA (tRNA) molecules are approximately 80 nucleotides in length. Their secondary structure includes four short double-helical elements and three loops (D, anti-codon, and T loops). Lineage: Bacteria; Pseudomonadati; Pseudomonadota; Alphaproteobacteria; Hyphomicrobiales; Rhizobiaceae. The record is from RNAcentral. RNAcentral also lists the same sequence under 3 other names.